Long non-coding RNA from Lontra canadensis (Northern American river otter), 263 nucleotides. RefSeq lists it as uncharacterized. The transcript is spliced from 2 exons. Lineage: Eukaryota; Metazoa; Chordata; Mammalia; Carnivora; Mustelidae. The record is from RefSeq and is a predicted model, not a curated record.
GGACCGUACCUAAUCAAAAGAUAGCCUUCCGCCCAUUGGCCCGGAGUUGCUAGGGCUGAGAGCAAAAGUGUAGCCAUUGGCUGGAGGCCCUAGCAGGACUCGACGUUUCUUCUUCCGAGCAGUGCGUGCGAGGCAGGAAAUGGCGCAGUGAGAAUAUUCUGGGAGAAACAGUAAAGUGAAUUUUGAGAGUCAUCUUUGGAGCCCAGCACACUGAGAUCAAGAUUCUUAAACAAAAAGGAUAAUAAAUGCCUCUUUCACCUUCA